Molecule: long non-coding RNA, 355 nt
Filed under: Mytilus galloprovincialis (Mediterranean mussel)
Lineage: Eukaryota; Metazoa; Mollusca; Bivalvia; Mytilida; Mytilidae
Source: RNAcentral
GCCCUGCCAAAUUUACCUCACUCACAAUUAAAUGAGCUGAGUGCUAUGUUUUUUAAUUUCAUUUGGAAUGGUAAGACUGAUAGAGUAAAGCGUAGUACUCUUAUUGCAGAUUUUUCACAGGGAGGAUUAAAUAUGGUGCAUUUGCAGUCUUUCUGUACAUAUCUUAAAUUAUCUUGGGUAAAGAGAUUUUUUAUCAAAUUCAGAUGGUACUUGGCAGAAUUUAUUACUAGCAGAACUAAAACAGUUAGGUGGUGACAGAGUCUUUACAUUACAAAAGGAUAAGAUUAAAGAAAUUUCUAAUCGCUUAAAAAAUCCAUUUUGGAAAGACAUAUUUGAAUGUCUACACAUGGCAAAG